This 865-nucleotide ribosomal RNA is filed under the name uncultured bacterium. Its description in RNAcentral is "bacterial SSU rRNA". It matches the Rfam family "Bacterial small subunit ribosomal RNA", at positions 58 to 917 of the family's 1533-position model. The record is from RNAcentral.
CAAGUCGAACGGCAGCACGGGUGCUUGCACCUGGUGGCGAGUGGCGAACGGGUGAGUAAUAUAUCGGAACGUACCUUAUUGUGGGGGAUAACGCAGCGAAAGCUGUGCUAAUACCGCAUAAUCCCUGAGGGGGAAAGCGGGGGAUCGUAAGACCUCGCGCAAUUAGAGCGGCCGAUGCCUGAUUAGCUUGUUGGUGGGGUAAAAGCCCACCAAGGCGACGAUCAGUAGCUGGUCUGAGAGGACGAUCAGCCACACUGGGACUGAGACACGGCCCAGACUCCUACGGGAGGCAGCAGUGGGGAAUUUUGGACAAUGGGGGCAACCCUGAUCCAGCAAUGCCGCGUGAGUGAAGAAGGCCUUCGGGUUGUAAAGCUCUUUUGUCAGGGAAGAAACACCGGCUCUAACACAGUUUGGGAAUGACGGUACCUGAAGAAUAAGCACCGGCUAACUACGUGCCAGCAGCCGCGGUAAUACGUAGGGUGCGAGCGUUAAUCGGAAUUACUGGGCGUAAAGCGUGCGCAGGCGGUUAUGUAAGACAGGCGUGAAAUCCCCGGGCUCAACCUGGGAAUGGCGCUUGUGACUGCAUAGCUAGAGUAUGUCAGAGGGGGGUAGAAUUCCACGUGUAGCAGUGAAAUGCGUAGAGAUGUGGAGGAAUACCAAUGGCGAAGGCAGCCCCCUGGGAUAACACUGACGCUCAUGCACGAAAGCGUGGGGAGCAAACAGGAUUAGAUACCCUGGUAGUCCACGCCCUAAACGAUGCUGACUAGUUGUUCGGGAAUUUAAUUCCUGAGUAACGUAGCUAACGCGUGAAGUCAGCCGCCUGGGGAGUACGGUCGCAAGAUUAAAACUCAAAGGAAUUGACGGG